GAAAUUUUUUGGUAUUGUUUAAUAAGAAAUUUUACUUGUCAGAUAAAAAAAAAGAAAAUGGAAGGAUCUGCUAAGUGGUAUCUGGUUUUCUUGUUUGUUAUUGUUACUAUAAUCAUGUUAGCAAUUCCCUGCUUUCUGGGUGGUUAUAAUUUUUGAGUUCAUAAUUCCAUUCUCUGAUUUGUGACCUCUUUGUAGGGUGAGUGGGUUCCAGUUGUUG
This 217-nucleotide unclassified non-coding RNA is filed under the name Hevea brasiliensis (rubber tree). Lineage: Eukaryota; Viridiplantae; Streptophyta; Magnoliopsida; Malpighiales; Euphorbiaceae. The record is from RNAcentral.